ACUCCUACGGGAGGCAGCAGUGGGGAAUAUUGCACAAUGGGGCACGCAAGCCUGAUGCAGCCAUGCCGCGUGUGUGAAGAAGGCCUUCGGGUUGUAAAGCACUUUCAGUCGGUGAGGAAGGUAGUUGUAUUAAUAGCUGCAUUAUUUGACGUUAGCGACAGAAGAAGCACCGGCUAACUCCGUGCCAGCAGCCGCGGUAAUACGGAGGGUGCGAGCGUUAAUCGGAAUUACUGGGCGUAAAGCGCAUGCAGGUGGUUUGUUAAGUCAGAUGUGAAAGCCCGGGGCUCAAGCCUCGGAA
This 298-nucleotide ribosomal RNA is filed under the name uncultured bacterium. RNAcentral describes it as "partial 16S ribosomal RNA". It matches the Rfam family "Bacterial small subunit ribosomal RNA", at positions 335 to 620 of the family's 1533-position model. The record is from RNAcentral.